AGAUCAUGUUGAGGGCAACUUCUAUGCAAACCCUUGUAUCUCUCCUAUGCUAUAUACAAUUACUCUCCAACCUCUUGUUGAAAAAUUGUAAUCUUCUUUUUAAGCUU
Lactuca sativa (garden lettuce) is the source of this 107-nucleotide small nucleolar RNA. The record is from RefSeq and is a predicted model, not a curated record. NCBI's taxonomy places the organism in Eukaryota, Viridiplantae, Streptophyta, Magnoliopsida, Asterales, Asteraceae.